GUAAAAUUGCAGAGGACAGUUUGCAGUUAUCACUAGGAUCAAAAUGUAAGUGUAAACUACAAAGAAACUCGUUCGUAAAAGCACGGAAGACAGUUCUGCAGAAUCAAACGUAAACGUAAACUGUAAUGUACGAAAAUACGAAUUUACGUCUGAAUGCAGAUUCGGAAGAACAGCACUUAGAACUUGUUCGUGAAAGCGCAGAGAGCAGUAGUAAUGAAGGAGGUUUGCAGUAAUGAUAAAGUGCUAAAAAAUAAACGCAAACCAGAGAUUUAGAGUGGUUCGGUCAGCCUUGACCUACUCCACUUUUGGCUUCCUCCACCGACGAGGUCGCCGACGUCAACUAGGGGCCUUCCUUCAAUAGGCGAAGGCCAAACUUCCCUUUUACAGUUUCUCUCCUUUUGACAGGCUCAGGAGACAACCUUUACAGACCUUUCUCUCCUCACUUUACAGCUGAAAACUUGAAGAACAGAAGGAGGAGACUUAAAGGCUUUACAACACUUUUGAGCUCUUAGAAUCACAGAAAAGAUCAAGAUUUCGGUGUAGGUCUGUAUCUUUUCAGUGCUGAAUGGGUGGGGAAUUUAUAGGCCCCAACCCAAUUCAAAUUUGGAGCUCAAAACAAUCAAAUCCCGGAAUUCUAGGAUCAGGCGGUUGCACCUCUUGACUGGAGAGGUUGCACCGCCUGGCAGAGCUCGAAGACCGAGCUCAGGCGGUGCCACCUCUCUGCCAGGGAGGUUGCACCGCCCAGUCUUGCUCGAAGACUGAGCUCAGGCGGUGCCACCUCUCUACUAGGGAGGUUGCACCGCCCAGUCUUGCUCGAAGACUGAGCUCAGGCGGUGCCACCUCCCGGCUGGGGAGGUUGCACCGCCCAGUCUCGCUGGAAGGCCUAGCCCAGGCGGUUCCACCUCUUGGCCUGGGCGGUUGCACCUCCUGGUGCAAUCAGGGUCCGAAUGGUUCAUUCCAUUCGGCCCAAUUUCAGUCUUUCAGGGGCCCAAUUGCCCCAAGAUUAAGCCAAUGGGAUCACCUCCCAUUUUCCAACUUAAUCAACGUGCUAACUACGAUUAAAUCUAAGACAACUUCUGCAGCUUUGCUUCGGUGCGUCAAUCGCUCCUUCCGGCGAGUUUCCGGUGAACUUCCGUCGAUCAUCCGAUGAACCCUCGGUGAUGCUCCUGCGGACUUCCGGCAAACUCCUGGACUUUGCGACGAUCCAUUUGGCAAGUUCCGACGAGCUUCGCUUGGCAAGCUUCUGGACUUCUCGGAUCUGUUCUCGCAGAACCUCCGACGACCGUCCGAACUUCCGUCGAACUCUCGAACUCCCAACGUGAUCAUGAACUUGACUCCGGCGCAACUCCUACUGCUUGUCUAUCUUUCAUCGUAGUUAAUCCUGC
This 1385-nucleotide long non-coding RNA is filed under the name Musa acuminata (dwarf banana). RNAcentral's name for it is "long non-coding RNA (MACU_LNC006974)". Lineage: Eukaryota; Viridiplantae; Streptophyta; Magnoliopsida; Zingiberales; Musaceae. The record is from RNAcentral.